This 401-nucleotide ribosomal RNA is filed under the name uncultured Paenibacillus sp. RNAcentral's name for it is "partial 16S ribosomal RNA". It matches the Rfam family "Bacterial small subunit ribosomal RNA", at positions 56 to 450 of the family's 1533-position model. The record is from RNAcentral. Lineage: Bacteria; Bacillati; Bacillota; Bacilli; Caryophanales; Paenibacillaceae.
UGCAGUCNAGCGGAGCUUGUCCUUCNNGGACANGGUUAGCGGCGGACGGGUGAGUAACACGUAGGUAACCUGCCCGUAAGACUGGGAUAACAUUCGGAAACNAAUGCUAAUNCCGGAUACGCAGCUUGGUCGCAUGACCNNGCUGGGAAAGAUGGAGCAAUCUNUCACUUACNGAUGGACCUGCGGCGCAUUAGCUAGUUGGUGAGGUAACGGCUCACCAAGGCGACGAUGCGUAGCCGACCUGAGAGGGUGAUCGGCCACACUGGGACUGAGACACGGCCCAGACUCCUACGGGAGGCAGCAGUAGGGAAUCUUCCGCAAUGGACGAAAGUCUGACGGAGCAACGCCGCGUGAGUGAUGAAGGCCUUCGGAUCGUAAAGCUCUGUUGUCCAGGGAAGAAC